Molecule: ribosomal RNA, 446 nt
Filed under: uncultured bacterium
Lineage: Bacteria
Description: partial 16S ribosomal RNA
Rfam family: Bacterial small subunit ribosomal RNA
Source: RNAcentral
CCUACGGGAGGCAGCAGUCGAGAAUCAUUCACAAUGGGGGAAACCCUGAUGGUGCGACGCCGCGUGGGGGAAUGAAGGUCUUCGGAUUGUAAACCCCUGUCAUGUGGGAGCAAAUUAAAAAGAUAGUACCAUAAGAGGAAGAGACGGCUAACUCUGUGCCAGCAGCCGCGGUAAUACAGAGGUCUCAAGCGUUGUUCGGAAUCACUGGGCGUAAAGCGUGCGUAGGCUGUUUCGUAAGUCGUGUGUGAAAGGCGCGGGCUCAACCCGCGGACGGCACAUGAUCCUGCGAGACUAGAGUAAUGGAGAGGGAAGCGGAAUUCCAGGUGUAGCAGUGAAAUGCGUAGAUAUCGGGAAGAACACUCAUGGCGAAGGCAGGUUCCUGGACAUUAACUGACGCUGAGGCACGAAGGCCAGGGGAGCGAAAAGGAUUAGAUACCCCAGUAGUC